Molecule: small RNA, 28 nt
Filed under: Bombyx mori (domestic silkworm)
Lineage: Eukaryota; Metazoa; Arthropoda; Insecta; Lepidoptera; Bombycidae
Description: ovarian small RNA-32447
Source: RNAcentral
UGAUAGUAGCGAUUGGUUUUGCCUUGAA